Molecule: ribosomal RNA, 160 nt
Filed under: Gymnodinium sp. ex Spongotrochus glacialis
Lineage: Eukaryota; Dinophyceae; Gymnodiniales; Gymnodiniaceae
Also listed under: 1 other name
Description: 5.8S ribosomal RNA
Rfam family: 5.8S ribosomal RNA
About the family: 5.8S ribosomal RNA (5.8S rRNA) is a component of the large subunit of the eukaryotic ribosome. It is transcribed by RNA polymerase I as part of the 45S precursor that also contains 18S and 28S rRNA. Functionally, it is thought that 5.8S rRNA may be involved in ribosome translocation.
Source: RNAcentral
ACAACUUUCAGCGAUGGAUGUCUCGGUUCGAACAACGAUGAAGGGCGCAGCGAAGUGCGAUAAGCAUUGUGAAUUGCAGGAUUCCGUGAACCGACAGGAACUUGAACGCAUAUUGUGCUUUUGGGAUAUUCCCGAAAGCAUGCCUUCUUCAGUGUCUAUG